GACGAACGCUGGCGGCGUGCUUAACACAUGCAAGUCGAACGGAAAGGCCCCGUUGGUGGUACUCGCUUGGCGAACGAGCGAGUAACUAGCGCGUGACUUGCCCUUGCCUUCGGGAUAACUACCGGCAACUGGCGCUAAUACCGGCCAGGAAUGAUUGCUGCCUGGUGGGGGUUGGUAAGCUUCGGGGGUUUUGGGGGGACUCGCGGGUUAUCAGCGUGCUGGUGGGGUAGUGGCUUACCAAGGCUUUGACGGGUAGGCGGCCUGGGAGGGGGACCGGCCACAUUGGGACUUGGGAUAGGCCCAGACUCCUACGGGAGGGAACAGGGGGGAAUAUUGCACAAAGGGCGGGAGGCUUGUGCAACAACGCCGCGGGCGGGAUGACGGGCUUCGGGUUGGAAAACGCUUUCAGCAGGGGCGGAGCUGGUGGUGACGGUACCUGCAGAAGAAGCACCGGCUAACUACGUG
RNAcentral lists this ribosomal RNA (465 nucleotides) under uncultured bacterium. RNAcentral's name for it is "partial 16S ribosomal RNA". It matches the Rfam family "Bacterial small subunit ribosomal RNA", at positions 28 to 507 of the family's 1533-position model. The record is from RNAcentral.